Non-coding RNA from Macaca mulatta (Rhesus monkey), 1249 nucleotides. NCBI's taxonomy places the organism in Eukaryota, Metazoa, Chordata, Mammalia, Primates, Cercopithecidae. The record is from RefSeq and is a predicted model, not a curated record.
GCGGUCCUCCCACCUUGGCCCCCCAAAGUGCUGAGAUUACAGAUGUGAGCCACCACACCCAGCCUGAACUACCAAUCUUGAUGGCAACGUUAGAUUGGGGGGCCUCUGUGGUCAUAACAGUGGUGGACCAGACAGCAGAGUCUUGUCUUCAGUACCAUGGAAACCCCGGCCUCCAGCGCUAGCAGGUGUUUUAGAAUGAAGGGUCAGAUGCUUGAGAGGGCGACCCCAAUCCUCUGCCCCUCCCUGCAGCUUCUGGGAAGGCCUCCUGCGUUUUUCAUCGCCUCUAGCAGCGUCUUGAAACAGCCGGCUCUGGAAGGCAUCCUGAUGGUGGGGUCAAGAGCUUUGCUUAGAUUUCCGCAUGAAGGUAUGCAAUGCAAAUGCCACCUUUUCUGAGCUAUGGUUUCGUUUUCUGCUGCAAACUUGGGACGUUUACUGAGGGACACUGAAUAGCUGGGGGUGGGUGGGGUGAGGGAGGCAGGGGCUAGAAGGAAGGAAGGAUUGUAGCAGGCAGGCUCUCUGGGACAGGGCAUAGGACAGAGACAGCUCCAGGAGGAUUUCACAGGAGAGAAUGAGGGGUGGGACGUAGUGAUGUCACAAGAGUCCCAUUAUGACCCCUCCCCCAUCAUUGGAGCUAGGACUGGCUAAGCCUGAGCAAGGGUGGGGGAAAUAAAUAAGGCACUGUUGCUAGGGCCUGAGCCCAGCAGAGAAAGGCUGUGUGCAGAGGGAGGGCCUCGGGUCCUGCUGCUCCUCCUGGACUCCUUCAUCCCAAUCCCUUCACAUCCUCCUCUAACAAGGACUCCCACAUCCCUCCCCGGCUAACUUGGAUCCUGCUCAACGCAACACCUGCCUUUCCUGAGUCCCUGGGUUCCUGCAGGCCUCGGGGCCCCACAGUUAUAUCUGCUGUUCCUGCAGCAGAGAGGUUGUACUGGGUUGAGAGAGAGGUCUCAGAAUCAAGACCUUGUCUCCUGCCACCGUUUACCCUGGUGAAGCUCCCAGGCCAAGCACAAACUUCCAGGUCGAACACAAACAGCCUUCAGCCGUCAGAGAGGAGGUGGCACUAACGCUCUAAGCAGGCGGCUGCUCUGUAGUCUUCUGCUGCCUGGAGAGGUUGCCUCCAUCACUGGUGCCCACCUGAGGAAUACUCAGUAACUACUCUUCAAAGGUACACUCAGAUGCCCACUCUGCAAAGCCAUUUUGUUUCCUUAAUGUACCUCUGAAAUCAUUUGUUAACAAAGCGUUUAUAAUUCCA